Molecule: transfer RNA, 76 nt
Filed under: Methanosarcinales archaeon
Lineage: Archaea; Methanobacteriati; Methanobacteriota; Methanomicrobia; Methanosarcinales
Also listed under: 1 other name
Description: tRNA-Pro
Rfam family: tRNA
About the family: Transfer RNA (tRNA) molecules are approximately 80 nucleotides in length. Their secondary structure includes four short double-helical elements and three loops (D, anti-codon, and T loops). Further hydrogen bonds mediate the characteristic L-shaped molecular structure. tRNAs have two regions of fundamental functional importance: the anti-codon, which is responsible for specific mRNA codon recognition, and the 3' end, to which the tRNAs corresponding amino acid is attached (by aminoacyl-tRNA synthetases). tRNAs cope with the degeneracy of the genetic code in two manners: having more than one tRNA (with a specific anti-codon) for a particular amino acid; and 'wobble' base-pairing, i.e. permitting non-standard base-pairing at the 3rd anti-codon position.
Source: RNAcentral
GGGGUCAUAGGGUAGCCUGGUAUCCUACAGGACUGGGGGUCCUGUGACCGGCGUUCAAAUCGCCGUGACCCCACCA